GAUGAACGCUGGCGGCGUGCCUAAUACAUGCAAGUCGAGCGAACGGACGAGAAGCUUGCUUUUCUGAUGUUAGCGGCGGACGGGUGAGUAACACGUGGAUAACCUACCUAUAAGACUGGGAUAACUUCGGGAAACCGGAGCUAAUACCGGAUAAUAUUUUGAACCGCAUGGUUCAAAAGUGAAAGACGGUCUUGCUGUCACUUAUAGAUGGAUCCGCGCUGCAUUAGCUAAUUGGUAAGGUAACGGCUUACCAAGCCAACGACGCAUAGCCGACCUGAGAGGGUGAUCGGCCACACUGGAACUGAGACACGGUCCAGACUCCUACGGGAGGCAGCAGUAGGGAAUCUUCCGCAAUGGGCGAAAGCCUGACGGAGCAACGCCGCGUGAGUGAUGAAGGUCUUCGGAUCGUAAAACUCUGUUAUUAGGGAAGAACAUAUGUGUAAGUAACUGUGCACAUCUUGACGGUACCUAAUCAGAAAGCCACGGCUAACUACGUG
This 497-nucleotide ribosomal RNA is filed under the name uncultured bacterium. Its description in RNAcentral is "partial 16S ribosomal RNA". It matches the Rfam family "Bacterial small subunit ribosomal RNA", at positions 28 to 507 of the family's 1533-position model. The record is from RNAcentral.